GAUGAACGCUGGCGGCGUGCUUAACACAUGCAAGUCGAACGGAAAGGCCCAAGCUUGCUUGGGUACUCGAGUGGCGAACGGGUGAGUAACACGUGGGUGAUCUGCCCUGCACUUCGGGAUAAGCCUGGGAAACUGGGUCUAAUACCGGAUAGGACCACUUCUUGGAUGUUGUGGUGGAAAGUUUUUUCGGUGUGGGAUGAGCUCGCGGCCUAUCAGCUUGUUGGUGGGGUAAUGGCCUACCAAGGCGUCGACGGGUAGCCGGCCUGAGAGGGUGUACGGCCACAUUGGGACUGAGAUACGGCCCAGACUCCUACGGGAGGCAGCAGUGGGGAAUAUUGCACAAUGGGCGCAAGCCUGAUGCAGCGACGCCGCGUGGGGGAUGACGGCCUUCGGGUUGUAGACUCCUUUCGCUAGGGACGAAGCGUUUUGUGACGGUACCUGGAGAAGAAGCACCGGCUAACUACGUG
RNAcentral lists this ribosomal RNA (467 nucleotides) under uncultured bacterium. RNAcentral's name for it is "partial 16S ribosomal RNA". It matches the Rfam family "Bacterial small subunit ribosomal RNA", at positions 28 to 507 of the family's 1533-position model. The record is from RNAcentral.